This 498-nucleotide ribosomal RNA is filed under the name uncultured bacterium. RNAcentral's name for it is "partial 16S ribosomal RNA". It matches the Rfam family "Bacterial small subunit ribosomal RNA", at positions 28 to 523 of the family's 1533-position model. The record is from RNAcentral.
GAUGAACGCUAGCUACAGGCUUAACACAUGCAAGUCGAGGGGUAGCAGGGUAGCAAUACCGCUGACGACCGGCGCACGGGUGAGUAACACGUAUCCAACCUUCCCAUAACUCGGGGAUAGCCUUUCGAAAGAAAGAUUAAUACCCGAUAGUACUUAACAGAGGCAUCUUUGAUAAGUUAAAGAUUUAUUGGUUAUGGAUGGGGAUGCGUUCCAUUAGAUAGUUGGUGAGGUAACGGCUCACCAAGUCUUCGAUGGAUAGGGGUUCUGAGAGGAAGGUCCACCACAUUGGUACUGAGACACGGACCAAACUCCUACGGGAUGCAGCAGUGAGGAAUAUUGGUCAAUGGGCGAGAGCCUGAACCAGCCAAGUAGCGUGAAGGAUGAAGGUCCUAUGGAUUGUAAACUUCUUUUAUAGUAGAAUAAAGUGAUCCACGUGUGGAUUUUUGUAUGUAUACUAUGAAUAAGGAUCGGCUAACUCCGUGCCAGCAGCCGCAGUAA